RNAcentral lists this ribosomal RNA (532 nucleotides) under Bifidobacterium longum subsp. suillum. RNAcentral's name for it is "bacterial SSU rRNA". It matches the Rfam family "Bacterial small subunit ribosomal RNA", at positions 146 to 692 of the family's 1533-position model. The record is from RNAcentral. Lineage: Bacteria; Bacillati; Actinomycetota; Actinomycetes; Bifidobacteriales; Bifidobacteriaceae.
UCUCCUGGAAAACGGGUGGUAAUGCCGGAUGCUCCAGUUGAUCGCAUGGUCUUCUGGGAAAGCUUUCGCGGUAUGGGAUGGGGUCGCGUCCUAUCAGCUUGACGGCGGGGUAACGGCCCACCGUGGCUUCGACGGGUAGCCGGCCUGAGAGGGCGACCGGCCACAUUGGGACUGAGAUACGGCCCAGACUCCUACGGGAGGCAGCAGUGGGGAAUAUUGCACAAUGGGCGCAAGCCUGAUGCAGCGACGCCGCGUGAGGGAUGGAGGCCUUCGGGUUGUAAACCUCUUUUAUCGGGGAGCAAGCGAGAGUGAGUUUACCCGUUGAAUAAGCACCGGCUAACUACGUGCCAGCAGCCGCGGUAAUACGUAGGGUGCAAGCGUUAUCCGGAAUUAUUGGGCGUAAAGGGCUCGUAGGCGGUUCGUCGCGUCCGGUGUGAAAGUCCAUCGCUUAACGGUGGAUCCGCGCCGGGUACGGGCGGGCUUGAGUGCGGUAGGGGAGACUGGAAUUCCCGGUGUAACGGUGGAAUGUGUA